Molecule: ribosomal RNA, 456 nt
Filed under: uncultured bacterium
Lineage: Bacteria
Description: bacterial SSU rRNA
Rfam family: Bacterial small subunit ribosomal RNA
Source: RNAcentral
AUUGAACGCUGGCGGCAGGCCUAAUACAUGCAAGUCGAACGGUAACAUAAAGAAGCUUGCUUCUUUUGAUGACGAGUGGCGGACGGGUGAGUAAUAUUUGGGAAACUACCUGAUAGAGGGGGACAACAGUUGGAAACGACUGCUAAUACCGCAUAAAGCCUAAGGGUGAAAGCAGCAAUGCGCUAUCAGAUGUGCCCAAACGGGAUUAGCUAGUAGGUGAGGUAAAGGCUCACCUAGGCGACGAUCUCUAGCUGGUCUGAGAGGAUGAUCAGCCACAUUGGGACUGAGACACGGCCCAGACUCCUACGGGAGGCAGCAGUAGGGAAUAUUGCACAAUGGAGGAAACUCUGAUGCAGCCAUGCCGCGUGUGUGAAGAAGGCCUUCGGGUUGUAAAGCACUUUCGGAGGGGAGGAAAAGAUGACGUUACCCUCAGAAGAAGCACCGGCUAACUCCGUG